AGAACCCUGCUGUGUACGUGGCGAUCCGCCAGGUUUUGAGCCAACACCACAACCUAGGGAGCCUGGACUCUGAACGCAGCGUAUACGCCCCCGCCGGUAUGGUGCCAGGGGACAUACAAAGCCUUCAGGAGGGCACCCACCUGCUGAGAGCAGGUUCAAAAAAGCGGUGAGUACGGCAUGGCGGGGAUCUU
RNAcentral lists this non-coding RNA (191 nucleotides) under Bacillota bacterium. Its description in RNAcentral is "6S RNA". It matches the Rfam family "6S / SsrS RNA". Rfam says of the family: E. coli 6S RNA was the first non coding RNA to be sequenced, but its function was unknown until recently. It consists of 184 nucleotides that fold into an extended hairpin structure with a large single-stranded internal bulge. Lineage: Bacteria; Bacillati; Bacillota. The record is from RNAcentral.